AACGAACGCUGGCGGCAGGCUUAACGCAUGCAAGUCGAACGCAUCGCAAGAUGAGUGGCAGACGGGUGAGUAACGCGUGGGAACAUACCCUUUUCUACGGAAUAGCUCUGGGAAACUGGAAUUAAUACCGUAUACGCCCUACGGGGGAAAGAUUUACCGGGGAAGGAUUGGCCCGCGUUGGAUUAGCUAGUUGGUGGGGUAAAGGCCUACCAAGGCGACGAUCCAUAGCUGGUCUGAGAGGAUGAUCAGCCACAUUGGGACUGAGACACGGCCCAAACUCCUACGGGAGGCAGCAGUGGGGAAUAUUGGACAAUGGGCGCAAGCCUGAUCCAGCCAUGCCGCGUGAGUGAUGAAGGCCUUAGGGUUGUAAAGCUCUUUCACCGAUGAAGAUAAUGACGGUAGUCGGAGAAGAAGCCCCGGCUAACUUCGUGCCAGCCGCCGCUGUAA
RNAcentral lists this ribosomal RNA (447 nucleotides) under uncultured bacterium. RNAcentral describes it as "partial 16S ribosomal RNA". It matches the Rfam family "Bacterial small subunit ribosomal RNA", at positions 29 to 523 of the family's 1533-position model. The record is from RNAcentral.